AGUAUUCUAGGAAUGAGAUAACAGAAUUUGAUCUGUAUAAGGCUUCACCUAACUAUCACAAUGAAACAGAACAAGAUGUCCAGAUUGGGAAUACAUCGCUUCAUAUUCACCAUGCUGUCAACAAGGUUAUGGACAAUAAAACAGGAUCUGUAGUUUAUUCUGAGGAAAUCAUUACGUCCAUCAGAGAAGAAGAGUACAAAAGAAAUCACGAGUGCAUCUUUGAUGAGGACUGUGGAAAAGGAAAUUACUGCUCAUCUGCCAUCAUGACAUCCAGAUGUUUGCCUUGCAGAACACAGGAAAUG
Molecule: long non-coding RNA, 302 nt
Organism: Protopterus annectens (West African lungfish)
Lineage: Eukaryota; Metazoa; Chordata; Ceratodontiformes; Protopteridae
Exons: 3
Source: RefSeq, a predicted model, not a curated record